UGUGCCCAUGCAUACAUAUGAAAAGACGAGCUCAAAGCUUUCAUCCAAUGUCACUAAGUUCAAAACGUAUUUUAGGCAUGAAGCGUUUAGUGAUAAGAACUUGAAAAUGGAGUUCAUAGCUAAUUUUAGCGACAUAACUCAAAAAUGUAUAUGAAGAAAGUUAAUUGCAAAUAACAAAUAUAGUGUUAGGUAUACAAGAAAAUGUAUUUCUUGACAAACUGGUUAUUUUGCUAUGAAAACAAAAUAAUGACCUUCUAUUGUGCCUCAGAAGUCUUUCUUUGUUUUCGGGAUUGUUUUUAUGUAUACUCUUGCAGAGGGUAUUCUAAUUUCAGCCAAGAGAUUGCAACGCAGUGAAGGAGACAUUUCCGACCUAAUAAAGUAUAUACAUACAUAUGUAUGUACAGCUGUGUUCACCGAAAUAGCAGUGCUUACGACCUGCACGUUUAAGAUUAAAAAAUACUAUUACAAACACUACUUUGUUAACAAGAUUUUUCAUAAAGUCUUAUUGUAUUUAAUUAUUAAUAAUAAAACAAUUAUUUCAUUUGGGUAACUUAAACACUUUAGAAGAUAUAGCUAAUAACAACAAAAAAAAGUAUAUAUUAUGCUGUUCAUUGAAAUAGCAGUCAAAGUAAACAAUUAACAAAAAUGUAAUCAACUUCAAAAUAUCUUAUAAAUAACCUAAUCCUACUGAAAUACAAUUUGUCUAUGAUCUAA
Drosophila rhopaloa is the source of this 714-nucleotide long non-coding RNA. RefSeq lists it as uncharacterized. Lineage: Eukaryota; Metazoa; Arthropoda; Insecta; Diptera; Drosophilidae. The transcript is spliced from 2 exons. The record is from RefSeq and is a predicted model, not a curated record.